AGCCGAGUAGACGUCGCGGAAUCCCAAAGGUCUAUCCCGCGAACGCAGCGUGGCGUCCCCUGCCUCGGCUCUGGGCGGUCUCCCUGCGUCAGUUAGACCAUCUGCCUGCCUUGUCGCGGACAGCCCCCUGGAAAAGGCGGAGAGGCCGGGAGCUGAAGCUGAUAUGGAAAGAAUGGAUUGAAAGAAGACCAGUACAGAAGCAGGGAGACCGGAAGAGAGACUGCUACAAUGGGCCAGAUGAGAAAUGGUACUGGCCUGAGCUAAGAGUCAUGGCAGUGGGUAUGCAGAGACUGCUUUGGACACAAGAUAUAUUUGGAAGAAGCACCAAGACUACUUCACUCAUGUUGCUGGGGGUCUUGUGUAAGGUGUUGUGGUUACCAAGGUGAAUGCCCCCAAUCUGGUAGAGAAGGCAGACACGAAGACGCAUGAAAGCCGUGUGCAGUGGGGUCAGUGCUGUGAGAGAGUUGAGCCUUCAGAUGAGACUGUGACCCCAGCUAGAGCUUGACUGAAACCUUACAGAAGACCUUCAGCCAGAGGCUCCCAGCUAAGCCAUGCCUGGACUCCUGACCCAUAGACACUGGCCAAGCCCAGCACUGGCCAUAACCACAGGCUUCGCGAACGAACGUCUGUCGGAUGACUUUUCCAGCUAAGAAUAUCUAUUUUAUCUCUCACGGUCAUUUUCCCCCAUUGCAAAAGCCAUACCUUUCCAUUGUAGAAAAGAUGAUAAAAUACAGAUCGAAGAAAAGGAUAAGACUAUGUUAUCCCACAUUUAGAGCUAGUCCCUAUGGGUCUUCAGAUACCUUCUUCUAGGGCAAUUAUCAUGCAUGUCUAGCCACCUAUAUAGGGAUAUAUAUAUGUUCCCAAGUCCUUCAGCUUUCUGUGGGCACUCUUUAAUGGCCAAACAGAAGCUCUUGGUCCCCACGCACACCCUGAGGGAAAUCAAGCCUUCGGGAGGGGCUGUAAUGGGGCUUGGCAUCCUUGUUUAUGAGGAGUAAAGAGUACGGAUGGCAGCAUUCGGGGACAGCCCCUGGGGAGGUCCCCGGAAGCAGGGGAGACGUGGCUCUCACGGACAGCAACCCAAAGCUGGAGGAGAAGGGGAAACAGACAGCUCGUAAUAAAUGUGUUUGACUCCGUGUUUCCCAUCUUAGCCAGUUUACGUUUCCUAGUGCUUCUCAAGACAGCCCAUAGUGCUUCUCAAGAACCGACCCCGUCCGAUUUCAGCCAACCUGCCUGGCAAGAUCUAGGCCGAGGCUAACGGCGUGUCCAGACAACACAGAACAAUUAUCAACAAGUGGGCGGCAACUGACUGGAGUAGUCCAGAGGUGUGCAGACUGGCAGAGGACGGCCGGCUCGGGCUCACACAUUGCCCCAUGCAAAAUCACAGACUGCAUGGCCGCUCUUCGGCUCGCUUGAGAGAGGACUGCACGGUUGUGCACACACACCGGAAGCUUCAGUCCAUAGACUGCUCCAGUUGCAAGUGAAGGAAAAUCUAACUCAAAAUGGUUUAAGCAAUUCAUCGGAUCCCAGAGGAAGAGUUGGAGAAUACUUCUCCCUUCAAAUGUUAUUUGAUACAGGGCCCAAAUACGUCGUUGCUGUGGGACUCUUUCUCUCCAUCUCUUGGGCUCUGCCCUGUGCCAGAGCCAGCCAUUCCUAGCAGCCAGGAAGUCGGAGAAGGCAUCCUUAACUAGGCACACUGCACUCUGAACAAAUUUAAGACUGACAGAAUGAAGAGAAUUUUUAUAUGUACAAUGGACUAUUAUUCAGCCAUUUGCAACAACAUGGAUGGACCUUGAGGGCACCAUGCUAAGUGAGAACACAAGAAGGGGACUGAUACUGGACAGGCAACCAACACGCCAUUGAUACACCACUGAUCCUGAAUCUACAAUUCUAUUCCAGACCUCUGCACAGGCUGAAGCAAAGGACACCCAGCAGAAGCGGCAAGAGAACAAGACGCACUGGUGGGGUCCAGCGGGAUCCAGCAUAAGCCUGUCACGUUUUUCCAUGUCCAAGAGCACACGGGAGUGCUUCACCAAAUAGCGAACCACGGGUAAGUGCGGGGUGCCCCUGCCCAAGGAGGCCGGCUUUAGUCUCAGGUCCGAGGGAGCUGGUCAUGUAGACAUAACCCACUAUUUUUUUUUAAUUUAAAUUCAAUCAGCCAACAUACAGCACAGUAUUAGUUUCAGAUGCACGACCCGCUGUGAACACUCCCCUCAUGUUCCACAGGGGGGCUCUGGGUUUGGUUUUCAGUAUC
Molecule: long non-coding RNA, 2251 nt
Organism: Ailuropoda melanoleuca (giant panda)
Lineage: Eukaryota; Metazoa; Chordata; Mammalia; Carnivora; Ursidae
Exons: 10
Source: RefSeq, a predicted model, not a curated record